RNAcentral lists this ribosomal RNA (211 nucleotides) under Acidobacteriota bacterium. Its description in RNAcentral is "partial 23S ribosomal RNA". It matches the Rfam family "Bacterial large subunit ribosomal RNA", at positions 2716 to 2925 of the family's 2925-position model. Lineage: Bacteria; Pseudomonadati; Acidobacteriota. The record is from RNAcentral.
AUCAGUUGUCGUGCUAACGGCACUGCUGAUUAGCUACGUGCGGAUCGGAUAACCGCUGAAAGCAUCUAAGCGGGAAGCCGGCCUCAAGAUGAGAUCUCCCAUCCACUCGAUGGAGUAAGACCCCUGGUAGACCACCAGGUUGAUAGGCCAGAUCUGGAAGGGUGGUAACACCUGUAGGAGACUGGUACUAAUGGGUCGAGGGCUUGACGGU